Molecule: ribosomal RNA, 253 nt
Filed under: uncultured bacterium
Lineage: Bacteria
Description: partial 16S ribosomal RNA
Rfam family: Bacterial small subunit ribosomal RNA
Source: RNAcentral
UACAAAGGUCUCAAGCGUUGUUCGGAUUCAUUGGGCGUAAAGGGUGCGUAGGCGGCGCGGUAAGUCGGGUGUGAAAUCUCAGGGCUCAACCCUGAAACUGCACUCGAUACUGCUCUGCUUGAGGACUGGAGAGGAGACUGGAAUUCACGGUGUAGCAGUGAAAUGCGUAGAUAUCGUGAGGAAGACCAGUGGCGAAGGCGGGUCUCUGGACAGUCCCUGACGCUGAGGCGCGAAGGCCAGGGGAGCAAACGGG